AGCUUCCUUGUUGAGAAGCUACUGCACCUCAUCAAUUUAGGUGAUACUUUUGUCUCACCGCCACCCUAGGAAGAUUUAUUUGCUACCGAUCCGCAUUUCCACGAAGUCCAGUCACCAGAAGACUGGCGAGUGGUUGUCAUGCACCACAUCUGAGUUUCUGCUGCUACCUCACUUCCUAGCGCGUGGAGGCGCAUCUGAUGUAGGCACAUCAUAUAGUCACUUAAGAUUAAUAUUUAGUGCAUUUUGUUCAUGUUUAGUAAUUUAUUUAUUUAUUUAUUUUCUAGGUAUUUUUGGUCAUUUUCUAGGAUAUGUAUUAGUUUGGUCCAAUCCCUUGGUUUUUGAAUCUUAUCAGGUAUGUUUAAGUAGUCUAGGAAGGUAAGGAUGCGAUCGGAAUGGAGUCCGAGGCUUAAAAUCAAGCUUUGGAGGGCAUUGAAGAAUGCAUAGAACGUGCAAACAGUUGCACAGACCAUGCAAAGCCAAACCUGGAGCCAUUAAAAUUACACAAGCUAUGCAACUACCUGUGCCAGAAGAACUUGAGGAAAUGCAAGGCAGCAAGUUAUAUGGUCUAACCCUUCCACAUUAAAGAAGUUACACGGGCCAUGUAAUCCUCGAAGAUAGAAUCCCAAACUCGACCUCACACAUUUCCUAGCUGUUCUUGGAGGUUUUCUAAGGCUACUAGGACUCUAAAACAAGAGUUUUUCAUCAGAUAUAAAUACAAGAAGUCAGAGUUUUAUCGGGGAUGGGCCUUUUCACUUUGAAGAGAGCAAAUUAACUUUGAGAGAAGUAAGAGAAGAGAGGGAUUUGCAAGAUUGCUAGAAGGAGUUCCAACUAAAGUUCCAAGAAUCCAAGACUGCAAUUUUCCAUUUGAGUUCUUUAGUUCUAUUCCUUUUCAUGUCUUUUCUUUCUUAUUUCAUGAACUUGAUUGUAAAAAUCACCAUGAAUAAGUAGUUUUCUUAUUUUAUGAUUCAAAUUUCCCCAAUAAAUUAGGAUUCUUGUUCUCUGAUUCAAUAUCUGUAUUUUUAAUGCAUGCUUUGUGUUGGUAGAUACCUAGUGUUGAUUUAAGAUGUCAAUUGAAGAACUGAAAGAUGAAAAUUGGUAUCGGAAUAAAUAGGAUUUUGAACUUAGAAUUCUUGAUCUAUAAAUAGUCUGAAAUUUUAUGAGGAUCUAUUAAUUAGCCAAGAACUUAAUGGAUUUUAAUUAAUUUAAAUAGGGUAAAUUUUAAUAACCGUCCUUGAACUUAUAUAGAUUGUAGAGUGUGAUAGAGAGUAGUUGGCCCAAGUACCCUAGAGAGGGUAUAACUUCCACUGUAGAAAUCAUAAGUAAUCAGAUCAUGAUAGAUAUAAAGCCUUUGAAUUUAAUAACAGGUUUGGAUACCUAAUAUUUUAAGUUUUGGCUUUUUAAGUGGAAGUGAGAAAAAUAGAAUUCCUACAGAUCCCUUCCUCGAGGUGGUAGUGGGUAGUAUGUAGUCUAAAGGACAGAAACAGAGAUUACAUAGUGAAUGCAUUGCUACUAUUCCCUAAGUUUCUCCUUAGCUUCUUAUUGCUCAAGACAAGAGUAUAAUUUAAGUAAAAGAAAGGAUAAGGUCAAAAGUUAGCAUAGAUAAAUCAUAGAAUAUGUAUAUAUAUAGAAGUGCAAAAGGAAAAGAUAAAAUAGUUGGAUCAAAUGCAACAGGAUAGAUAACCUGAAUGCCAAUAGAAGUACUAGCUAGAGUUGUUAGAGGACCAAUUCUGAGUAACAUCAAAGUGUUGAUGAGUUGAUAGAGACAGUGAAGGGAUAUAAGUUUAUGAAGUUUUCUGCUGUUCUUGACUUACAGAUUAAUGAUGGCAUAGGUUUGAUACAUGUUUUGGACAACAUGACAUUGAAGGUUGAAGGUUCAGAUUGG
Molecule: unclassified non-coding RNA, 1882 nt
Filed under: Hevea brasiliensis (rubber tree)
Lineage: Eukaryota; Viridiplantae; Streptophyta; Magnoliopsida; Malpighiales; Euphorbiaceae
Source: RNAcentral